This 497-nucleotide ribosomal RNA is filed under the name uncultured bacterium. RNAcentral's name for it is "partial 16S ribosomal RNA". It matches the Rfam family "Bacterial small subunit ribosomal RNA", at positions 28 to 507 of the family's 1533-position model. The record is from RNAcentral.
GAUGAACGCUGGCGGCGUGCCUAAUACAUGCAAGUCGAGCGAACGGACGAGAAGCUUGCUUCUCUGAUGUUAGCGGCGGACGGGUGAGUAACACGUGGAUAACCUACCUAUAAGACUGGGAUAACUUCGGGAAACCGGAGCUAAUACCGGAUGAUAUUUUGAACCGCAUGGUUCAAAAGUGAAAGGCGGUCUUGCUGUCACUUAUAGAUGGAUCCGCGCUGCAUUAGCUAGUUGGUAAGGUAACGGCUUACCAAGGCAACGAUGCAUAGCCGACCUGAGAGGGUGAUCGGCCACACUGGAACUGAGACACGGUCCAGACUCCUACGGGAGGCAGCAGUAGGAAAUCUUCCGCAAUGGGCGAAAGCCUGACGGAGCAACGCCGCGUGAGUGAUGAAGGUCCUCGGAUCGUAAAACUCUGUUAUUAGGGAAGAACAUAUGUGUAAGUAACUGUGCACAUCUUGACGGUACCUAAUCAGAAAGCCACGGCUAACUACGUG